AUGAUGUAUGACAAGCACAAGGGGAUUUUUGCAGCGGAGGUUGAUGAUGUAGUAGGGAAGUUUGGACAAGGUUUAAAGGGAUUGCAGUGCAACCGGAUGGCCGCUCUGCUUCAUGAUGUAGGAGACGCCAUCACAGCUUCCGAUGAGCCCAACAUUUCCUUUGCAACACCUACCAUGGAUGAAAAUCAACAGAAAGAGAGUGAUGCUCAAGCUGCAAACGUCGGCAUUGAUGGUCAAGCUGAGGUUGAAGCUGCAAUACCUAUCAUGAACAAGGAUCAAGUCAAUGGGGAGCUGAAAAAGAACCAAGAAGUUGCAAUAGAGGUCGCUGAAACUCAUGAGCAACAAAGGGUGAGUUUUGAGAUAGAAGGCAACGUCUCACCUCGGAACCCCCACACUUCUGUGAUGCACCCAGGAGUGCAACAACCGGCAUUUGGGACAAUGAGCCAUCAUUCGAGUUGUUCCCAAAGGGCUCCGAAGAUUAUGAGUUGA
Molecule: ribosomal RNA, 489 nt
Filed under: Triticum aestivum (bread wheat)
Lineage: Eukaryota; Viridiplantae; Streptophyta; Magnoliopsida; Poales; Poaceae
Description: partial small subunit ribosomal RNA
Source: RNAcentral